AUGGCCGGAGCAGCAAACGAUCUGAAGCUACUGGGCAUGUGGGCGAGCCCGUAUGUCCUGCGGGUGCGCCUUGCUCUCAGCAUCAAGGGCAUCAGCUACGAGUACACAGAGGAGGACCUCCGGCACAAGAGCGAGCUGCUCCUCCGGUCAAACCCCGUCCACAACAAGGUCCCCGUGCUGAUCCACGACGGCAAGCCCGUCUCCGAGUCUUGUUGA
Molecule: ribosomal RNA, 216 nt
Filed under: Triticum aestivum (bread wheat)
Lineage: Eukaryota; Viridiplantae; Streptophyta; Magnoliopsida; Poales; Poaceae
Description: partial small subunit ribosomal RNA
Source: RNAcentral